Molecule: ribosomal RNA, 417 nt
Filed under: uncultured bacterium
Lineage: Bacteria
Description: bacterial SSU rRNA
Rfam family: Bacterial small subunit ribosomal RNA
Source: RNAcentral
GAUGAACGCUGGCGGUAUGCUUUACACAUGCAAGUCGAACGCAAAUUUUUAAUUUGAGUGGCGGACGGGUGAGUAACACGUGAGAAUUCGCCUUUAGGUAGGGAAUAACUAUCAGAAAUGAUAGCUAAUGCCCCAUGUGCUCGUAAGAGUGAAAGGAGCAAUCCGCCCAAAGAGAAGCUCGCGGCUGAUUAGCUAGUUGGUAAGGUAAUGGCUUACCAAGGCGACGAUCAGUAGCUGGUUUGAGAGAACGAUCAGCCACACUGGAACUGAGACACGGUCCAGACUCCUACGGGAGGCAGCAGUGGGGAAUUUUCCGCAAUGGGCGAAAGCCUGACGGAGCAAUACCGCGUGAGGGAUGACAGCCUUUGGGUCGUAAACCUCUUUUAUCAAGGAGGAAGUUCUGACGUGUAAUUGAUG